This 655-nucleotide unclassified non-coding RNA is filed under the name Hevea brasiliensis (rubber tree). Lineage: Eukaryota; Viridiplantae; Streptophyta; Magnoliopsida; Malpighiales; Euphorbiaceae. The record is from RNAcentral.
GCGGAUGGGUGUACGAGCAAGGUAAUUUAGAAGCCUUUCUUUUCCUUACGUCACAAUCACAUUAUGGGAAACUGAAAAUACUUGUAUAAAGGAAUAAAUGAUAAAAAGAUACCACCAAGCUAAACUAUACAUCCUUUUGACUAAAUGUAUUUAGGUUGGGGUGGGGGAGAGGAAAAAAUGCCAACUGAGAAAGCUAUAAGCAGCUAUUUCACUAUCUUGGAAUGCUCAGAAAUACAAAGAAUUGUAUGAACUCUUUAGUAAUUCAUUGGAUCAAGUUUUCUUGUUUCUUAUACAAAUUAUUAAGCAAUUAAUUACAGUUAACCUUUUCCAGUUUCAUGUCCUCAAGGGAGUGGCAUGAUUCUCUCCUGAAAAUUAAAAACCAUUUCACCUGUUCUUGGACCUGGCCCAACUGCUGUCUCCCUACUUCCAGGAAUGGUAAGUUUUGUCGGUAAGAAGUUAGGAUACAGCCAGCUUUGUUUCCUCUAGAAGCCAGCUUUGUUUCCUCUAGGAGAGUGAAUUAGCCGCUAUAGAUAACACUUUUGAAAAUUUAGAACUUCUGAAUGCAUUAAUUUUAUUCAUUCAUUUUUCCCAUAGCAUUGCAAGGCCAAAUUGAUAUUCAUUGUUAUGUGGCAGGUAUGUUGACACCUUCAACCAA